CGUCCAUCUGGCAGUCUGGGGAUCCGGCGGACAUAGCAAUCAGAACCGACUGUAGCAACGCAAAAUGCACCGGGUCCUUGCACCUGUACCGUUGGUCGUGUCUUUCGUGCAGGCCGCCCCCCGAAAAUAAAUGCAGGCAUUGUGUCAGAAGUACCCGUUGUCUGUAGCCUUACUCCUGUCUGGGCAGUUUCUAAGUAUCGCCUGCCUUCCGCUCUGAUGGAGCCGAGCACUUCCACUGCGUGCCUUCUGAUUGUGCUCUAGGUAUUUGGCUCUGCGGCUUCCCGCACCAUUCACAACUUUAACCCUUCUCUUGUCUGGAGCGGCUGCAGUUACUUCUGGAACUAACCAGUCAUGAAAUUCAUCCCCCCCUUGAAACGUCCAAGUUGGUUCAGCCCGGUGAGCAUGUGACGCUAUAAAGGCAGGAUGGCUGCGAAUCCAGACUAGACUGAGCUGAGUGCCACAGAAUAGGAGGGAAAUGAGGGGAUUAACCAUUCCGCUGCCAUGUUGUUCAUUUGUACAUGCUAAGUUGCUAAGUUUGUGCUCUCACUCUGUAUGGACAUUUUAUGUGGGCAACUUUCAUCAAAUAUUUGCUUUCAAAUAUGUAAAACGAGUUUGUUAUUUCACGUCUAUAACAAAACAUUACAAAUACAUGAUGAAAAAUGUGUUUUUUUUUGUAAUUGGAAAACAAUAAUUGAAACAUUGGAAAAUACACACAUAUUUAGAAAGCCUACAUAUGUACAAUAUGUAGCUUACAUAGCCUACAAUAUACACCCUUCAAUGAAGCGAGCAUGUUAAUACAAAAUGUGAAUAUUUUACUUUUUUUUGUAUAAAAAUCGGCAUAACACAUACGUUACAAAUACAGAACAAUAGCUCCCACAUGCUGCUGGGCACAAAGACAACAUUUUGGAAUAAAAAUUAGAAACUUCUGAGUAAACUGAUACCACGUGAUUAUAGGCUACAAUGUGGCUUCAAGUUCUAAAGACCCCAAAAUAAAAAUAGUACAAAUGAA
This is a long non-coding RNA of Xenopus tropicalis (tropical clawed frog), 1009 nucleotides long. RefSeq lists it as uncharacterized. The transcript is spliced from 2 exons. NCBI's taxonomy places the organism in Eukaryota, Metazoa, Chordata, Amphibia, Anura, Pipidae. The record is from RefSeq and is a predicted model, not a curated record.